GGUGGUGGUAGGAAGAUGUCGGGCGAGGACGAGCAGCAGGAGCAAACUAUCACCGAGGACCUGGUCGUGACCAAGGGUACUUCGGUCCUUGGUGGAAGCAUCUAGCUCAGGUGUGUCGGUACUGAGCCUGUGUGAGAAAGGUGAUGCCAUGAUUAUGGAAGAAACAGGGAAAAUCUUUAAGAAAGAAAAGGAAAUAAAGAAAGGUAUUGCUUUUCCCACCAGCAUUUCGGUAAAUAAUUGUGUAUGUCACUUCUCCCCUUUGAAGAGCGACCAGGAUUAUAUUCUCAAGGAAGGUGACUUGGUAAAAAUUGACCUUGGGGUCCAUGUGGAUGGCUUCAUCGCUAAUGUAGCUCAUACUUUUGUAGUUGAUGUAGCUCAGGGGACCCAAGUAACCGGGAGGAAAGCAGAUGUUAUUAAGGCAGCUCACCUUUGUGCCGAAGCUGCCCUACGCUUGGUCAAACCUGGAAACCAGAACACACAAGUGACAGAAGCCUGGAACAAAGUUGCCCACUCAUUUAACUGCACGCCAAUAGAAGGUAUGCUGUCACACCAGUUGAAGCAGCAUGUCAUUGAUGGAGAAAAAACCAUUAUCCAGAAUCCCACAGACCAGCAGAAGAAGGACCAUGAAAAAGCUGAAUUUGAGGUACAUGAAGUAUAUGCUGUGGAUGUUCUCGUCAGCUCAGGAGAGGGCAAGGCCAAGGAUGCAGGACAGAGAACCACUAUUUACAAACGAGACCCCUCUAAACAGUAUGGACUGAAAAUGAAAACUUCACGUGCCUUCUUCAGUGAGGUGGAAAGGCGUUUUGAUGCCAUGCCAUUUACUUUAAGAGCAUCUGAAGAUGAGAAGAAGGCUCGGAUGGGUGUGGUAGAGUGCGCCAAACAUGAACUGCUGCAACCAUUUAAUGUUCUCUAUGAGAAGGAGGGUGAAUUUGUUGCCCAGUUUAAAUUUACAGUUCUGCUCAUGCCCAAUGGCCCCAUGCGGAUAACCAGCGGUCCCUUUGAGCCUGACCUCUAUAAGUCUGAGAUGGAGGUCCAGGAUGCAGAGCUAAAGGCCCUCCUCCAGAGUUCUGCAAGUCGAAAAACCCAGAAAAAGAAAAAAAAGAAGGCCUCCAAGACUGCAGAGAAUGCCACCAGUGGGGAAACAUUAGAAGAAAAUGAAGCUGGGGACUGAGGACCGCCAGCAGAGCAGGGGGUCUCCCCACCCCAGUUCCCCAGCCCACUCCCAACAACAACCAGCUCCAACUGACUCUGGUCUUGGGAGGCAAGGCUUCCCAACCACGGAAGACUACUUUAAAUGAAAAAAAGAAAUUGAAUAAUAAAAUCAGGAGUCAAAAUUCAUCGUCUUCAAGCCCCUCUUUCUAGCCUUUUCUACUACUUUCUGCUUGGUCAAGGUUUGUAGCCCUACCACAGAACAGGGCUAAAUUAGCCACCGCCACUGAAAACUCAGCUGAAUUUUUUUAUACCACUCUGAUGUCAGCGUUUUUCCAUCUGUUUGGGGCUUUUUCCUCUCUUUUUCCCAUUUUCCCCAAGUAUUUUAUCUGGCUUCAAAAUUAGGAGGAUUAUUUUUCAGAUUGUUUUUAUUCAGUGUGGCCGAUUCCUCAUCUUGAUUCAGGCCGUCCAGUCAGGCCCUUCCCAAUUUAGGAUUUGGAGCCUUCAUUUAUGAAGAGAUUCUUAUCUAUGAAAUGGAUCCUCAUUUGUAAAUCUUUGUUCUUCCAUUUUCACAAAGCUGUAAAGAAAUAAUUCAUCUCAACCUUACCCUUUUCUCUGGAGUCAGUGGGGUCUUCCCUCACUCCAUCUUACACAAACCUGAGCUGGAAGCUCAACUGGUUUUGUUCCCUGUUUGAAAUAUUGUGAUCUCCCUCCCUUGA
Molecule: RNA transcript, 1868 nt
Organism: Sapajus apella (tufted capuchin)
Lineage: Eukaryota; Metazoa; Chordata; Mammalia; Primates; Cebidae
Gene name: proliferation-associated protein 2G4 pseudogene
Exons: 1
Source: RefSeq, a predicted model, not a curated record